This 21-nucleotide microRNA is filed under the name Marchantia polymorpha subsp. ruderalis. The record is from RNAcentral. Lineage: Eukaryota; Viridiplantae; Streptophyta; Marchantiopsida; Marchantiales; Marchantiaceae.
UGCCGGAGGCUCUUCAACCUU